GGCACUGGUGGUGGGCACCCCUGGCUUCUGGGAUGGGGUUCAAGUCCCUGCGGUGGC
Molecule: small nuclear RNA, 57 nt
Filed under: Pogona vitticeps (central bearded dragon)
Lineage: Eukaryota; Metazoa; Chordata; Lepidosauria; Squamata; Agamidae
Source: RNAcentral